CGGAGGGAAACCGAGUCUUAAUUGGGCGUUAAGUUGCAGGGUAUAGACCCGAAACCCGGUGAUCUAGCCAUGGGCAGGUUGAAGGUUGGGUAACACUAACUGGAGGACCGAACCGACUAAUGUUGAAAAAUUAGCGGAUGACCUGUGGCUGGGGGUGAAAGGCCAAUCAAACCGGGAGAUAGCUGGUUCUCCCCGAAAGCUAUUUAGGUAGCGCCUCGUGAAUUCAUCUCCGGGGGUAGAGCACUGUUUCGGCUAGGGGGCCAUCCCGGCUUACCAACCCGAUGCAAACUGCGAAUACCGGAGAAUGUUAUCACGGGAGACACACGGCGGGUGCUAACGUCCGUCGUGAAGAGGGAAACAACCCAGACCGCCAGCUAAGGUCCCAAAGUCAUGGUUAAGUGGGAAACGAUGUGGGAAGGCCCAGACAGCCAGGAUGUUGGCUUAGAAGCAGCCAUCAUUUAAAGAAAGCGUAAUAGCUCACUGGUCGAGUCGGCCUGCGCGGAAGAUGUAACGGGGCUAAACCAUGCACCGAAGCUGCGGCAGCGACGCUUAUGCGUUGUUGGGUAGGGGAGCGUUCUGUAAGCCUGCGAAGGUGGCCUGUGAGGGUUGCUGGAGGUAUCAGAAGUGCGAAUGCUGACAUAAGUAACGAUAAAGCGGGUGAAAAGCCCGCUCGCCGGAAGACCAAGGGUUCCUGUCCAACGUUAAUCGGGGCAGGGUGAGUCGACCCCUAAGGCGAGGCCGAAAGGCGUAGUCGAUGGGAAACGGGUUAAUAUUCCCGUACUUGGUGUUACUGCGAAGGGGGGACGGAGAAGGCUAUGUUGGCCGGGCGACGGUUGUCCCGGUUUAAGCGUGUAGGUGUGUGUUCCAGGUAAAUCCGGUUCACUUUAACACUGAGGCGUGACGACGAGGCACUACGGUGCUGAAGCAACAAAUGCCCUGCUUCCAGGAAAAGCCUCUAAGCAUCAGGUAACAUCAAAUCGUACCCCAAACCGACACAGGUGGUCAGGUAGAGAAUACCAAGGCGCUUGAGAGAACUCGGGUGAAGGAACUAGGCAAAAUGGUGCCGUAACUUCGGGAGAAGGCACGCUGACACGUAGGUGAAGUGAUUUACUCAUGGAGCUGAAGUCAGUCGAAGAUACCAGCUGGCUGCAACUGUUUAUUAAAAACACAGCACUGUGCAAACACGAAAGUGGACGUAUACGGUGUGACGCCUGCCCGGUGCCGGAAGGUUAAUUGAUGGGGUCAGCGCAAGCGAAGCUCCUGAUCGAAGCCCCGGUAAACGGCGGCCGUAACUAUAACGGUCCUAAGGUAGCGAAAUUCCUUGUCGGGUAAGUUCCGACCUGCACGAAUGGCGUAAUGAUGGCCAGGCUGUCUCCACCCGAGACUCAGUGAAAUUGAACUCGCUGUGAAGAUGCAGUGUACCCGCGGCAAGACGGAAAGACCCCGUGAACCUUUACUAUAGCUUGACACUGAACAUUGAGCCUUGAUGUGUAGGAUAGGUGGGAGGCUUUGAAGUGUGGACGCCAGUCUGCAUGGAGCCGACCUUGAAAUACCACCCUUUAAUGUUUGAUGUUCUAACGUGGACCCGUUACCCGGGUUGCGGACAGUGUCUGGUGGGUAGUUUGACUGGGGCGGUCUCCUCCUAAAGAGUAACGGAGGAGCACGAAGGUUGGCUAAUCCUGGUCGGACAUCAGGAGGUUAGUGCAAUGGCAUAAGCCAGCUUGACUGCGAGCGUGACGGCGCGAGCAGGUGCGAAAGCAGGUCAUAGUGAUCCGGUGGUUCUGAAUGGAAGGGCCAUCGCUCAACGGAUAAAAGGUACUCCGGGGAUAACAGGCUGAUACCGCCCAAGAGUUCAUAUCGACGGCGGUGUUUGGCACCUCGAUGUCGGCUCAUCACAUCCUGGGGCUGAAGUAGGUCCCAAGGGUAUGGCUGUUCGCCAUUUAAAGUGGUACGCGAGCUGGGUUUAGAACGUCGUGAGACAGUUCGGUCCCUAUCUGCCGUGGGCGCUGGAGAACUGAGGGGGGCUGCUCCUAGUACGAGAGGACCGGAGUGGACGCAUCACUGGUGUUCGGGUUGUCAUGCCAAUGGCACUGCCCGGUAGCUAAAUGCGGAAGAGAUAAGUGCUGAAAGCAUCUAAGCACGAAACUUGCCCCGAG
This 2156-nucleotide ribosomal RNA is filed under the name Salmonella enterica subsp. enterica serovar Enteritidis. RNAcentral describes it as "partial 23S ribosomal RNA". It matches the Rfam family "Bacterial large subunit ribosomal RNA", at positions 667 to 2803 of the family's 2925-position model. Lineage: Bacteria; Pseudomonadati; Pseudomonadota; Gammaproteobacteria; Enterobacterales; Enterobacteriaceae. The record is from RNAcentral.